ACGAAGGGGGCUAGCGUUGUUCGGAAUUACUGGGCGUAAAGCGCACGCAGGCGGACUGAUCAGUCAGGGGUGAAAUCCCGGGGCUUAACCCCGGAACUGCCUUUGAUACUGUCAGUCUCGAGUCCGGGAGAGGUGAGUGGAAUUCCUAGUGUAGAGGUGAAAUUCGUAGAUAUUAGGAAGAACACCAGUGGCGAAGGCGGCUCACUGGCCCGGUACUGACGCUCAGGUGCGAAAGCGUGGGGAGCAAACAGGA
Molecule: ribosomal RNA, 253 nt
Filed under: uncultured prokaryote
Description: partial 16S ribosomal RNA
Rfam family: Bacterial small subunit ribosomal RNA
Source: RNAcentral